CAGUGAGGAAAUUUUGAAAGUAG
This 23-nucleotide non-coding RNA is filed under the name Cricetulus griseus (Chinese hamster). The record is from RNAcentral. Lineage: Eukaryota; Metazoa; Chordata; Mammalia; Rodentia; Cricetidae.